UUUUUUUGUGUGGUAAAUAUGGAAUGAUUAUUGAUUUUCCUUUAAAUUUGGAUUUGAGACAGAAUGUUGGUGCUAAUUCUCCUAUUCAUCUGUAAUUCUGUAUAACAGGUAAAUGCCAUGCUUGAGCGCCAAGUUACUGUUAGCAGAAUUCUUGGAUACACAGUUGUGUGAAUCCGGCUGCUCUUUUGUGAUUUGCUGAAUUUUGAGUCAAGGGUCUUUGGGAAACAACCUCUCUAACUCUACGAGGUGGUAAAGCCUGUGUAUACUACAUCCUCUCCAAACCCCACUUGUAGAAUUUUACUGGAAGUUGGGGUUUCAAGAAUGGAAGGUGGACUAAAUAAUCAAAUGCAUGUCGAAUUUUUUGUUGGAGUUGAUCGGAAGGAUGACUGAACAAGAUGUUAUUGUGAUCUGCGAGCAGAAAAGUGUACAUUAUAUAUCACUAUCGCCAAAGAGAAACAUAUGUAGAAGAUGAUAUUUCUCAUAUAAAGACUAGUCUCUAAACACGGGCUUUGCACGUCAUUUUUUACAAAUUUAUAGCACGAACUUAUAAUUUGAAGUGAAUAUCGAUAUCCAUGAUGAAUGUUGCUUGUACUACAGUUUUCAUAAUUUUUUUUCACUGUAUGUAAUUAUAUUUUCAUCGAGUAGGUGAAAUGAUGUAGAAGUGUUAUAUUCUA
Molecule: long non-coding RNA, 674 nt
Organism: Solanum tuberosum (potato)
Lineage: Eukaryota; Viridiplantae; Streptophyta; Magnoliopsida; Solanales; Solanaceae
Exons: 3
Source: RefSeq, a predicted model, not a curated record